This 348-nucleotide unclassified non-coding RNA is filed under the name soil metagenome. RNAcentral describes it as "partial contains 5.8S ribosomal RNA, internal transcribed spacer 2, and large subunit ribosomal RNA". The stretch from base 1 to 120 matches the Rfam family "5.8S ribosomal RNA", at positions 35 to 154 of the family's 154-position model. The record is from RNAcentral.
GAUGAAGAACGCAGCGAAAUGCGAUAAGUAAUGUGAAUUGCAGAAUUCAGUGAAUCAUCGAGUCUUUGAACGCACAUUGCGCCCCCUGGUAUUCCGGGGGGCAUGCCUGUCCGAGCGUCAUUGCUGCCCUCAAGCACGGCUUGUGUGUUGGGCCCCCGUCCCCGGUUUCCCCCGGGGACGGGCCCGAAAGGCAGCGGCGGCACCGCGUCCGGUCCUCGAGCGUAUGGGGCUUUGUCACCCGCUCUGUAGGCCCAGCCGGCGCCAGCCGACACCCAACUUUAUUUCUAAGGUUGACCUCGGAUCAGGUAGGGAUACCCGCUGAACUUAAGCAUAUCAAUAAGCGGAGGA